RNAcentral lists this transfer RNA (72 nucleotides) under Colletotrichum fructicola Nara gc5. Its description in RNAcentral is "tRNA-Thr for anticodon AGU". The stretch from base 8 to 64 matches the Rfam family "tRNA", at positions 8 to 63 of the family's 71-position model. From Rfam's summary of the family: Transfer RNA (tRNA) molecules are approximately 80 nucleotides in length. Their secondary structure includes four short double-helical elements and three loops (D, anti-codon, and T loops). The record is from RNAcentral. Lineage: Eukaryota; Fungi; Ascomycota; Sordariomycetes; Glomerellales; Glomerellaceae.
GCCUUGUUGGCUAAGUGGUAUAGCGCCUCACUAGUAAUGAGGAGAUCGGGUGUUCGAUUCACCUGUUCGAUU